This 601-nucleotide ribosomal RNA is filed under the name Luteibacter rhizovicinus. RNAcentral's name for it is "bacterial SSU rRNA". It matches the Rfam family "Bacterial small subunit ribosomal RNA", at positions 40 to 632 of the family's 1533-position model. The record is from RNAcentral. Lineage: Bacteria; Pseudomonadati; Pseudomonadota; Gammaproteobacteria; Lysobacterales; Rhodanobacteraceae.
CGGCNCCUUACCAUGCAAGUCGAACGGCAGCACAGCAGAGCUUGCUCUGUGGGUGGCGAGUGNCGGACGGGUGAGUAAUGCAUCGGGACCUACCUAGACGUGGGGGAUAACGUAGGGAAACUUACGCUAAUACCGCAUACGUCCUACGGGAGAAAGCGGGGGAUCGCAAGACCUCGCGCGGUUAGAUGGACCGAUGUGCGAUUAGCUAGUUGGUAAGGUAAUGGCUUACCAAGGCGACGAUCGCUAGCUGGUCUGAGAGGAUGAUCAGCCACACUGGGACUGAGACACGGCCCAGACUCCUACGGGAGGUAGCAGUGGGGAAUAUUGGACAAUGGGCGCAAGCCUGAUCCAGCAAUGCCGCGUGUGUGAAGAAGGCCCUCGGGUUGUAAAGCACUUUUAUCAGGAGCGAAAUCUGCACGGUUAAUACCCUUGCAGUCUGACGGUACCUGAGGAAUAAGCACCGGCUAACUCNGUGCCAGCAGCCGCGGUAAUACNGAGGGUGCAAGCGUUAAUCGGAAUUACUGGGCGUAAAGCGUGCNUAGGCGGUUCGUUAANUCUGCUGUGAAAGCCCCCNGGNUCAACCUGGGAAUGGCANUUGGAU